Molecule: transfer RNA, 70 nt
Filed under: Bryophryne cophites (Cuzco Andes frog)
Lineage: Eukaryota; Metazoa; Chordata; Amphibia; Anura; Craugastoridae
Description: tRNA-Val
Source: RNAcentral
CGAAAUAUAGCUUAAUUAAAGCCCCUCGCUUACACCAAGGAGAAUGUCUGUUAAAUCAGCCUAUUUCGAG